RNAcentral lists this non-coding RNA (46 nucleotides) under Schistosoma curassoni. The record is from RNAcentral. Lineage: Eukaryota; Metazoa; Platyhelminthes; Trematoda; Strigeidida; Schistosomatidae.
GCACUGCUGUGGAGUCCCACAAUAGGACGAAACGGCCGUUUAGUGC